GAUGAAGAACGUAGCGAAAUGCGAUACGUAAUGUGAAUUGCAAAUUCAGUGAUUCAUCGAGUCUUUGAACGCACAUUGCGCCCCCUGGUAUUCCGGGGGGCAUGCCUGUCCGAGCGUCAUUGCUGCCCUCAAGCACGGCUUGUGUGUUGGGCCCCGUCCUCCGAUCCCGGGGGACGGGCCCGAAAGGCAGCGGCGGCACCGCGUCCGGUCCUCGAGCGUAUGGGGCUUUGUCACCCGCUCUGUAGGCCCGGCCGGCGCUUGCCGAUCAACCCAAAUUUUUAUCCAGGUUGACCUCGGAUCAGGUAGGGAUACCCGCUGAACUUAAGCAUAUCAAUAAGCGGAGGA
This 345-nucleotide unclassified non-coding RNA is filed under the name soil metagenome. RNAcentral describes it as "partial contains 5.8S ribosomal RNA, internal transcribed spacer 2, and large subunit ribosomal RNA". The stretch from base 1 to 119 matches the Rfam family "5.8S ribosomal RNA", at positions 35 to 154 of the family's 154-position model. The record is from RNAcentral.